Molecule: long non-coding RNA, 1504 nt
Filed under: Macaca mulatta (Rhesus monkey)
Lineage: Eukaryota; Metazoa; Chordata; Mammalia; Primates; Cercopithecidae
Description: lncRNA (ENSMMUG00000051345.1)
Source: RNAcentral
UAUAUAUAUAUUUUUUAAUUUGCUGAUUGUAGGAAACUUUGGCCUGUUAUUCUCAGAAUCUGUUUCAUUUUUCCCUGGGUACACUGGUAGACUAUACUUCCAGGCUCCCUUCCUGUUUGGUAUAUCCUUGUGAUUUGUUUCUGGUUGAAGGAAUGUGAACAGAACUUACAUACCAUUUCAAGGUCUUGCCUCUAUGCUCCUUUUUCCCCCAUUUGCCAUAUGGACACAAAAGAUCCAACAGAAGACUCUGAUGCUCUCUACAGGAUAGUGGAACCACAAGGUGGAAACAAUUCUGGAUUCCUGAGUCAGCUCGUGAUAGCUGCCCACCAAACACACUCAUUGAUCUUUUGCCUGGCACAGAGUUCCUUGGGAAAAAGCACAAACUUGGGAAAGGAGAUGUUUAUUUUAAACUUGUGAUAGGAAUUAAAUGGUACCAAAUUCCAGUCCCAGGAAAAAUUGCGAUAAAGAAAGAAGGAGAUGAACCAGAAAGAUGAGACAGGAAAAAAGGCGAAGGCAAGUGGAAGCAUCAGUGAAGCCAAUGUGGAAAGGAUCAAGAAGAACAGACAAAUUGAGGCAGAAAAGCAAGGCCAGUAACUGUAAUGGUGAAGUUUUGAAAUGAUACUAUGCAUACUACAUUUUAAUGGGUAUCCUCCCCAUUCAAAUGAGAGGAAGGAGGAGGAAUUGGGAAGGUGAGUGGAAAAGAAUAUUUCAAACGAAUUCUCCCUACAUGACAUCACUUUCCUUUAGGCUGACCUUGAUUUCUUGUCACCAGAGCAGGUGCCACAUGUUUAGCUCUCUGAGCUGGUGGUAUGUCGCAAAUCCCAUGUUUUUAUGAGUGUUUUACACAACUUUUUCCUUGUGACUUAAACUCGUCUAGACUCAAAAGUCUAAGUUUGGACAGCAGAAGGAAGCCAAAACAGCAAAAGAAAGCAUGCUAUAGAAAAGAUACUAAAUCUUGACCAUAAACAGAGGAGGGAAACCAGACAGCUGUAUUGUACUUCAGUUAGUUUUGUUUACCACUAUCUGUCAGGGCUAGUCCUGCUGCUACUCUGAGCAAGUUGUCCUGCUUUAAUUUCAGUAGUAUCUGUUUAUCGCCCAGUCUUCGUUGCCAGUUAUGCUCAGGUCAUUAACUGCUUGGUUACCUCUUAACCUCAUUUGGGAAAGUUUAUAUGUUGAUAGUCCUGUAACUUGAACCAGCUCACUUAUUUUUAAGAAAGUUAGGAUUCUUUUUAUCUUCUCCAACUCAUCACUAAAAGAGGUUAAUUGAAAAAUACAGAGACCACUACUUAAGUAAUUUUUUCACCAAAGACAUUCAAUAUCAUGACAGAAUUCAGGAUGUGGAGGGAGACUGGCAGGUGGGGAAGGAGAGACAGAGAAGAGUUGGCAGGACCCAUGUGUAUCAUCUUCUCAGUUUAGAAGCCCAUAUGGUGCUUCAUAAUGCUCUGCUCAAUUGCCAUAUAGUUUUAGUCUACAUCCUAUUAAAAAUAAACCCUAUUAAGAAGAG